GGGAGAUAACUAGAUUCUCUGACAGAGCAGUUAGUUACAGAGGAUGAUUUUCUUGAGGAUGCUAACAAAAUCACCUGCCAUGGAAUCUGGUGCUGGAGACAUAUUUCACACAAACAGGUCAUGCCCUACCCCCACCCUCACCAGAGCGCAGAUCAAAAGGGCCCAGCUUACAGUAGUGAAGAUGAUGGCUGAAACUCUUUUCCAACUGCAGAAAGACAGGAGGGUCACUGCAGUGCAUAAGAAUAAACAGCUACUCAAAGUUGGCAUGUGUUCUUCACCCAGAGGGAAAAAACAUCAGCAGGCUUACGGCCACAGAGCAAAUGGGUAUGGAUUUGUACCAAGAGGAAAGAAUGUGAACUGAGGAUGCUGAAGAGUGCAACAAUUUGUCCUGCCGUGCUAACAACCAGUGGUCUUUGUAAGCGGAGACAGGCACAGCAGCUUUUUCACUGUUGGCAAGCUGUGGACCACCACCCCAGCUACUCUCCUUACUCUCGCUGAGGAAAGGCAGCAAAUAGCCAAAUGGUGGCAGCAUGAUAAAUUGCUUUAGUUGUUCACCCAGCGAGAGCAGAGUCCUGGGCACCAGAGG
Non-coding RNA from Zonotrichia albicollis (white-throated sparrow), 586 nucleotides. The record is from RefSeq and is a predicted model, not a curated record. NCBI's taxonomy places the organism in Eukaryota, Metazoa, Chordata, Aves, Passeriformes, Passerellidae.